GACCUCAGGUGGAUCCAAGUUCUUCUGGUGCAGCCAUGGCUCACCAUCUUUGUAUCCUUCGCCCUCGCGGCUCUGGGCACGUACGGCAGCAUCACCGAGAAGAAGACCCCGCUCAUCGUGUUCUGUGUCUUGAUGUGGAUCAUUACCAUCACCCUGGUGAGCUACGGCACCCAUAUCAUUGUGACCAUCUCCCAGGUCACAUCUAUCGCACCUGAAACCAGCCAGAUUUUGCACAAGCCCCUGAGCAUUGCAGUGGGAAUCAUCUUUGGACUUGUUCCCUUCACGUUUGUGGGGGGGCUCUUGUCCAUUCUCAUGGUGAGGCAGAUCAAACAAAGCAGCCAUGUUCAG
Molecule: long non-coding RNA, 348 nt
Organism: Salarias fasciatus (jewelled blenny)
Lineage: Eukaryota; Metazoa; Chordata; Actinopteri; Blenniiformes; Blenniidae
Exons: 4
Source: RefSeq, a predicted model, not a curated record